This 489-nucleotide ribosomal RNA is filed under the name Cryptosporiopsis sp. CJL-2014. RNAcentral describes it as "eukaryotic LSU rRNA". The stretch from base 137 to 290 matches the Rfam family "5.8S ribosomal RNA". Lineage: Eukaryota; Fungi; Ascomycota; Leotiomycetes; Helotiales; Dermateaceae. The record is from RNAcentral.
CCCUGUGUCGUUAUACCUUCGUUGCUUUGGCGGGCCGCGGGGCCCCGGCCCCGCCCCUGGCUCCGGCUAGGGCGCGCCCGCCAGAGGACCUCAAAACCUGAAUGUUAGUGUCGUCUGAGUACUAUAUAAUAGUUAAAACUUUCAACAACGGAUCUCUUGGUUCUGGCAUCGAUGAAGAACGCAGCGAAAUGCGAUAAGUAAUGUGAAUUGCAGAAUUCAGUGAAUCAUCGAAUCUUUGAACGCACAUUGCGCCCCUUGGUAUUCCGGGGGGCAUGCCUGUUCGAGCGUCAUUACAACCCUCAAGCUCUGCUUGGUCUUGGGCGUCACCGGUCCCGGUGUGCCUUAAAAUCAGUGGCGGCGCCAUCUGGCUCUAAGCGUAGUACAUACUCUCGCUACAGACGUCCGGUGGAUGCUGGCCAGCAACCCCCAACUUAUCAAGGUUGACCUCGGAUCAGGUAGGGAUACCCGCUGAACUUAAGCAUAUCAAUA